GGCGGGGCACAGCGCGGGGCCGGCAGUAGUCCUGCCCGGCGGGGCUCCCGCUUACUCGGGUCCCCGUCCGCCCGCCCGCGCCCCGCGCCGGCCGGCCCCCGGGAAGGGUCUGCCGGGCUCUGCCUCCUCCCCGUCCCCAUCAGCCCAUCGGGCAGGGGCGGAAGAGCCGCGCGGGCCGCCUGGCCCCGGAGGAGAGGCGGGCUGCCGGUGCCCGCCCUGAGGGAUGGGCACCCCGGGGCGGGAAUGGGGCUCAGGCUGGCCCGGGGUGUGCCUUGGGGCUGAGCAAGCGCGCUGUGGCUGGCGAGGGAAGGCCGUAAAGGGCGUCUCCAUCACUCGGCUAGUUCCAAUGGUAUCGUGCUCAAUACAUCUGAAUGCCAAAUGUUGCACAGCAGCCCUUUACCCUAAACCCAAGAAUUUUGGAUGCAGUAUUGACCCACAUCAAACACUCGUCUAUCCGUAAUGGAGGAUUUGUGAGGACUUCAGGCACACAAAAUACAUUAGGAAGCAGUCAAUGGGGGCAACUGUUUGGAGAAGAGAGAAGUUUAUGUGACACUCACGGAGGCAAACAGCAAAGUCAUCAUAGUAAACAGAUUCCAGUAGAUUGCACUCAGCUCUCCUUGGCUCCUUUUAGCACGUUAAUUGUUCUUGGCAAAGCUUAUUAGGUUUUAAGGUGGGAGCCUACCAUUAUUAAAAUAUCCACUGUGUCAGAUAAUAAAAUGUGAUCUCUCUCUCUCUUCCGCCGUGUG
This 746-nucleotide long non-coding RNA is filed under the name Parus major (Great Tit). RNAcentral describes it as "lncRNA (ENSPMJG00000013887.1)". Lineage: Eukaryota; Metazoa; Chordata; Aves; Passeriformes; Paridae. The record is from RNAcentral.